This 1366-nucleotide ribosomal RNA is filed under the name uncultured bacterium. RNAcentral describes it as "16S ribosomal RNA". It matches the Rfam family "Bacterial small subunit ribosomal RNA". The record is from RNAcentral.
UCCUGGCUCAGAACGAACGCUGGCGGCGUGGAUAAGACAUGCAAGUCGAACGACAGAAGGGCCAGCUUGCUAAUAAUUCUCUAGUGGCGCACGGGUGAGUAACACAUGAGUAACCUGCCCCCGAGAGCGGGAUAGCCCUGGGAAACUGGGAUUCUUACCGCAUAGUAUCGAAAGAUUGAAGCACCAAUGCGCUUGGGGAUGGGCUCGCGGCCUAUUAGUUAGUUGGUGAGGUAACGGCUCACCAAGGCGAUGACGGGUAGCCGGUCUGAGAGGAUGUCCGGGCCACCACUGGAACUGAGACACGGUCCAGACACCUACGGGUGGCAGCAGUCGAGAAUCAUUCACAAUGGGGGAUACCCUGAUGGUGCGACGCCGCGUGGGGGAAUGAAGGUCUUCGGAUUGUAAACCCCUGUCAUGUGGGAGCAAAUUAAAAAGAUAGUACCACAAGAGGAAGACGAUCGGCUAACUCUGUGCCAGCAGCCGCGGUAAUACAGAGGUAUCAAGCGUUGUUCGGAAUCUCUGGGCGUAAAGCGUGCGUAGGCUGUUUCGUAAGUCGUGUGUGAAAGGCGCGGGCUCAACCCGCGGACGGCACAUGAUACUGCGUGACUAGAGUAAUGGAGGGGGAACCGGAAUUCUCGGUGUAGCAGUGAAAUGCGUAGAUAUCGAGAGGAACACUCGUGGCGAAGGCGGGUUCCUGGACAUCUAACUGACGCUGAGGCACGAAGGCCAGGGGAGCGAACGGGAUUAGAUACCCCUGUAGUCCUGGCAGUAAACGGUGCACGCUUGGUGUGCGGGGAAUCGACCCCCUGGGUGCCGGAGCUAACGCGUUAAGCGUUCCGCCUGGGGAGUACGGUCGCAAGAUUAAAACUCAAAGAAAUUGACGGGGACCCGCACAAGCGGUGGAGUAUGUGGCUUAAUUCGAUGCAACGCGAAGAACCUUACCUGGGCUUGACAUGUAAUGAACAACAUGUGAAAGCAUGCGACUCUUCGGAGGCGUUACACAGGUGCUGCAUGGCCGUCGUCAGCUCGUGUCGUGAGAUGUUAGGUUAAGUCCAGCAACGAGCGCAACCCCUGUUGCCAGUUACCAGCACGUGAAGGUGGGGACUCUGGCGAGACUGCCCAGAUCAACUGGGAGGAAGGUGGGGACGACGUCAGGUCAGUAUGGCCCUUAUGCCCAGGGCUGCACACGUACUACAAUGCCCAGUACAGAGGGGGCCGAAGCCGCGAGGCGGAGGAAAUCCUAAAAGCUGGGCCCAGUUCGGACUGUAGGCUGCAACCCGCCUACACGAAGCCGGAAUCGCUAGUAAUGGCGCAUCAGCUACGGCGCCGUGAAUACGAUCCCGGGUCUUGUACACACCGCCCGUCA